ACGCGGAUUACGGUGGCGGCCUA
RNAcentral lists this small RNA (23 nucleotides) under Arabidopsis thaliana (thale cress). Its description in RNAcentral is "Ath_wt_02177". Lineage: Eukaryota; Viridiplantae; Streptophyta; Magnoliopsida; Brassicales; Brassicaceae. The record is from RNAcentral.